CACGAACCGGGCAAACGUUAUUCGGAAUUACUGGGCUUAAAGCGUGCGUAGGCGGCCCUAUAAGUCGGGUGUGAAAUCCCUCAGCUCAACUGAGGAACUGCGCCCGAUACUGUAGUGCUUGAGGAGGAUAGAGGUGAGCGGAACUACCAGUGGAGCGGUGAAAUGCGUUGAUAUUGCUGGGAACACCCGUGGCGAAGGCGGCUCACUGGGUCCUUUCUGACGAUGAGGCGCGAAAGCUUGGGGAGCAAACGGG
This 253-nucleotide ribosomal RNA is filed under the name uncultured bacterium. RNAcentral's name for it is "partial 16S ribosomal RNA". It matches the Rfam family "Bacterial small subunit ribosomal RNA", at positions 524 to 776 of the family's 1533-position model. The record is from RNAcentral.